Molecule: long non-coding RNA, 1701 nt
Organism: Sciurus carolinensis (gray squirrel)
Lineage: Eukaryota; Metazoa; Chordata; Mammalia; Rodentia; Sciuridae
Exons: 5
Source: RefSeq, a predicted model, not a curated record
UGCCCAGGAGGAGGCUUCAUACCACGAGCCUCCCGGAGGUGUAACUGCAGUCUGAGCAGCUGCACUCGGCAACCCUGGGGUCUGCAUCUGCAGCUGCUUGUCAAGUUCACUUCCAGUGUGUGGAUGUGCUUCUUCAGAAGAGGAGGGUGCUGGGCUGCUGAGAGAGUCUUCAGGUCUAAGGAGUUGCGGCUGAGAUCACAGGCCACUGAGUGCCGCGACCUUGAGGCUUCCCACCACUCUGUCCCAGCACCUGUGACAGUGCUCCAGGUGGGCACCUGGACGGACAAAUCCGUGACGAGCUGGGGAAGCUGAGCAGGAGAGGCGCGCGUGUCCAUGGGCUCCAGGCGACCCUCUCGGCAGGUGGUAUAUUUAUGAAGAAUGCCGACUCCAGAGCCAAACUUGUAGGUACCUCCACUGUGCAGUUAUAGGACCUCAGAUCGUUAGACUGGGACUCCAGGAGCUGAACUGACUUGUCCAAGGUCCUCCAUCCAAUACCAAAGGGCGGGUCAAGCCACAAAUUUAGGUCUGUCUGCCUUCCCAGUUCUUUUCAGCACAUGGCACUGUGUCUCUAGACGAAAGCUUUCCGGAAUCAUGGUAUUAGAGCAAGGCGAGGCUGCUCGGAGCCUUCUCCUCCACCUUCUCGCAGGGCACACCAGCCCCUCCCUCCGGCUUGGCCAGGAGCUGGCUGGCGGGCUGGAAUGCCAAUGCCUGUCGGGUGGCAUUUCAGACAGCCCACUAUUCUGCUUUCAGUGCACACGAUUGGGAACCACUCGGAACUGCAGAGAGGGCGUCAUCGUUGGAAGUAGGGUGGGGGCUGGAUUUAUCAGCAGUUUCUUUCUGCUUCCCCAAGGGCCAGCGCCAGUCCUUAGGAAACCCUUUCCCUGGUCCGGGCAGAGGCACCUGGAGCCCCUCUUGCUGCUUCUGUGCGCCACCUUGAGGGCAUUUGAGUUACUGCACCACCAACAUGCAGUUGCUGCUCUAGUCAAAGUCCAACGAUUCUAACUAGGUUAAGGGCAGAAGAUUCAAGUGCAAGUCCUUCCUUGUCACCAUGGUGCCCUUCCUGGUCAAUUUCCUGGUAUUCCAGCUACAUCUUGGAGAGUACCAUCGUCACUUUUACUGCCGGGCGGUUGCCUGGGCCAUUCCUCUGCUUGGGACGCCCUCUCCUGGACGGUCUACCCAGCAAACUGCUAUUUAUCUUUUGAUUCCCACUCCAAAAACUCUCGCUGCCAUGAGUCUCCAGUGACUACUCGCCACGUUGAAACACUCUCCCCGCGUCCCCACUGCGUGUUACAUCCACUCCCUUCUAAAAGCUCUCACUCUGUGGCGUGUGUCUCCUCAUGAGCUGUCAGAGACACAAACUCAGAGGCCACAAGCUUCAGUUUUUGCCUGGUUUUAAACACGAUAAACAGUGCUGGGAUGGAACCCAAGGCUUUGAGCAUGAGAGGCAAGAGGUCUACCACUGAGCUAUAUUCCCAGCCCCCAUGUAUAUUUUUAAAACUUCCUACAAUGAAUAAUUGAUUGCCUGUAUAACAAAAUAAACAUAAAAUAGUUAAACUACCUUUACUCCAUGUACAAACAGAGAAACAACAUGUAUCCCAUUUGUUUACAAUAAAAAAAUAGUUAAACUGUACAAUAAAUAUGAUUAAAUAUAUCACAAAUAAAAUAUUUCAUUUUUAAGAAGCAGUGAGAUAAUGAUGGUCA